AGCACAACCUUCAUUGUUUACUGGUUAGCAAAAAUGGCUAAUUUCUCAAAAAAAAUUUGUCCUGUAGACUUCCCGUUUUUGCAGCGUUCAUCCUUCAUCCAUUCAAAAUACAUAAGUAUGUCAAAUGGCACAUGUCGGUUUCAGCAUGAUCGAAGCCAUACACGCACACACACAGAUGCACAGAGGCCACUUGGCUAUUAUAAUAUAGAUUAACAACCUAAAGAUCUGCAGAUUUUGUGUGUGAGAGAGAGAGAUAAUGUGAGUCUGUGUUGAAACGUGUGUACUUGAAGCUACAUCUGCAUUCAUAUUCAUUUCAAUUCAAUAAUGACAAAAACCAUCACAAAAAUAUUGGUCUUAAUGUUGAUUAUUUGAGCACAAACAUCAUAAUGUAUCAUUUUAUAAAGUAAGAUGAUGAUAAUAGUGAGAACAAUGAUGCGUCUCAUGUAACUGCUCCCCAGAUAUGAAAAUAAAAACAAAAAUAAUGAACACAUAUUAAACAA
Molecule: long non-coding RNA, 500 nt
Organism: Thalassophryne amazonica
Lineage: Eukaryota; Metazoa; Chordata; Actinopteri; Batrachoidiformes; Batrachoididae
Exons: 3
Source: RefSeq, a predicted model, not a curated record